This 253-nucleotide ribosomal RNA is filed under the name uncultured prokaryote. RNAcentral's name for it is "partial 16S ribosomal RNA". It matches the Rfam family "Bacterial small subunit ribosomal RNA", at positions 524 to 776 of the family's 1533-position model. The record is from RNAcentral.
UACAGAGGUCUCAAGCGUUGUUCGGAUUCAUUGGGCGUAAAGGGUGCGUAGGUGGCGCCGUAAGUCAGGUGUGAAAUUUCGGAGCUUAACUCCGAAACUGCAUUUGAUACUGCGGUGCUUGAGGACUGUAGAGGAGACUGGAAUUUACGGUGUAGCAGUGAAAUGCGUAGAGAUGUGGAGGAACACCGAUGGCGAAGGCAGCCCCCUGGGUCAAGAUUGACGCUCACGCACGAAAGCGUGGGGAGCAAACAGG